Rattus norvegicus (Norway rat) is the source of this 2451-nucleotide non-coding RNA. Lineage: Eukaryota; Metazoa; Chordata; Mammalia; Rodentia; Muridae. The record is from RefSeq and is a predicted model, not a curated record.
CUGAAGGAAGAUAAGUGACCACAGUAUACAGCGUACUUGGGUUGACAAAUGCUGCACGCAAGAAAUGACAUAAUUGCCCUUCUAGAAACUUGGGCAAACACUUGCUGGAAGUCACACAGUAAGGUCCCCAAACCAGUGCGUCCUUUACCCUGUCACUAAGCAACAAAAGGCCAGGCCCAGAGCUGUCGGCUGGUAUCAUCACUGGGACCCAAUAUCUGACAACAUGUCGUCUCUGGCUUUGACAUUGAUUUAUGGGAGGUUUUAAGGAGAUGGGUACCACUCAAAGAUUCAAGUUUUUCAGAUGUUAUCAGUAUUCCGAAGAGGGAGCUGCUCUCAAUGUUCAGCUGCCGGUUGGUGUCUCUGCCCCUGCCUUUGCCCAUGGCUCCUCUCUGGAUGAAUUUGGAGUGAUUUUAGCUCAAAGCAGCUUUUGCAGCCGCACAGGACCCUCCGCACAGGACCCUCCGGUGGAAGAGCCCUCCCUUCGCCUUUCAAUCUACCCAAAUCCAUUGUCCACAGGGGGGAGAGUCUGCUCUGCAGGCUCCUAGCCUUGCUGGUAAGAGAAUUUUAAAAAUAGCCUCGGAAGGGAACUGGAGGACAAUUUAUUGGAGUCAGCGAGCUACAGAGCAACAGGGAGACGCCGAGCAACAGGGAGACGCCAGCAGCUGCCGAGAGGAGAGGAAAAAACAGAGAAAUAGAAACUCAAAGUCCUCGUAGAGUACAACGAAAAGACAGUCUACGGAGGACGCUGUGGUAAAACCAGGAGAGAAAGAGCUGGUGCCCAGAGCCCUUGUUCCUCCAGUGUGUGAAGGAACACAAGACCGCUUUCUUCUCUGGGUAAUGUGGACCUUGGACACAAAACCAGCAGCUCCUCCUUUCAGGUCAACAGAGGAGGAAGUACUUAACCUUAGUGUUAUUUAGGAUAGUUUCAUAGCCAGCUAAGACCCUGCUCCAGGUAGCCUCAGACUCAGGACAGGUCUAAGAAGGAAGGCGUCUCACUGCCGGUCACUUCACUCUUGUCCACUCUGCUGGAGAUCCGUUGGACCAGGAGAGAGUGACUAGAAGCAGUGAUCCGCCAAUGGCUUCCCUUCAAGUUUUGUUAGCAUCGAGUCACUUUAAGGCCCAUGUCCUUGGUUCCUCUUUAACGCGGCAGCUCUUUCAAGCGUCUUGUGGAUCUUUAUCGCCUAUGGAAGGCCAGCGCCAGCUAAUUUUUUUUUUUUUUUUUUUUUUUUUUUUGGUUCUUUUUUCCGGAGCUGGGGACCGAACCCAGGGCCUUGCGCUUCCUAGGCAAGCGCUCUACCACUGAGCUAAAUCCCCAGCCCCGCUAAUUUUUAACAUAGCAAUGGAAGACCAGUGAUUAAAGUUGCUGCUGACGCCAUUCCUGCCGAUUGCCUCAGAGGAAGCCACCAUAUUGGAAUUCAUAUGAGGGGUCACCCCCAAGCUCCUUAUAAUACUCCCACUCAGCCAGCCCCAGUGGAGACUCUCAGAACAGAAACCUGAAGCUGUCCGUCUGUCUAAACCGCAUGCCUUCUGGGGAAUGCGCAUGUCAAGCUAUCAAGUACAAAUCCUAAGUUGGUGGCACUGUUUGGGGACACUUAGAAGGUGCAGCCCUGCUGGAGGAAAUAUGUCACUGGAGGUGGAUUUUGAGAACGUGAACCCUCACCUACUUCUUCAUGCUUGUGGCUUGAGAUGUAAGUUCUGUAUCAUGCCGCCCUGUCUGCUCCCACCUGACAUCAUGGACUCUCCCCCUCUGGUACUGUAAACCAGAAUAAACCCUUUCUUCUCUAAGUUGCCUUGGCUAUGAGGUACUAUCACAGCAACUGAGACAUAGCCAGUACAGAGGGUGGUGAAUUUAUUAGAAGAGUUAUCACCGCCACAGGCAGAUGAUGGCAUGGCAGGGGUGGGGGUGAGGGGUGAGGCUCUGAAGAGAGGAAGUGAGGGAUCCCAGCAGGAAGUGGGAAAUUCUUCUCUUUUUCUGAGGAUGGGAGUGGCUUCGCAGAGUAAGCUCUGUAAGCUCCGCAGCCAGGCUCUCUGAUUCCCACACAGAAAGCAGGCAGGCUGGUGUGAAGCAGGGUUUGCGGCCAUCAGUACACACUUGGAUGUCACUCCCUGGCACCUGGGAGUCUGUUAGCUUGAGAUUCACAGUCAAUGUCUCAGCAGGCGUCAGCUGGUUCCGGUGAAAGGAGAAGGGCCAAGGCAGGUAGUGGGGCAGCUGGAUGCUAAUAUCACAUCCGUCUACUCUUAACAUGGGCUCCUGAGGUAAGAGCAGAGAAACAUUCAUCUCCCAGCAGAAGUGGCCAGUGGAGGCUCUGCUUUUCCCCACUCACCAGCCUAUGGAAGAUAACUUGACUUACCCAAUCUGGAACUGUGGGAGACACACACACACACACACACAGACACACACACACACACACCACACACACACACCCCUGCAGGUGUGCAGCCCCGCCCCCU